This 468-nucleotide ribosomal RNA is filed under the name uncultured bacterium. Its description in RNAcentral is "partial 16S ribosomal RNA". It matches the Rfam family "Bacterial small subunit ribosomal RNA", at positions 28 to 507 of the family's 1533-position model. The record is from RNAcentral.
GACGAACGCUGGCGGCGUGCUUAACACAUGCAAGUCGAACGGAAAGGCCCUGCUUUUGUGGGGUGCUCGAGUGGCGAACGGGUGAGUAACACGUGAGUAACCUGCCCUUGACUUUGGGAUAACUUCAGGAAACUGGGGCUAAUACCGGAUAGGAGCUCCUGCUGCAUGGUGGGGGUUGGAAAGUUUCGGCGGUUGGGGAUGGACUCGCGGCUUAUCAGCUUGUUGGUGGGGUAGUGGCUUACCAAGGCUUUGACGGGUAGCCGGCCUGAGAGGGUGACCGGCCACAUUGGGACUGAGAUACGGCCCAGACUCCUACGGGAGGCAGCAGUGGGGAAUAUUGCACGAUGGGCGGAAGCCUGAUGCAGCAACGCCGCGUGCGGGAUGACGGCCUUCGGGUUGAAAACCGCUUUCGCCUGUGACGAAGCGUGAGUGACGGUAAUGGAUAAAGAAGCACCGGCUAACUACGUG